GACAGUGUGGUGUAGUGGUUUGAGUGUUGGACUAGGAUUCUGGAGACCAGGGUUCUAAUCCUUGCCUGGCCA
Phrynosoma platyrhinos (Desert horned lizard) is the source of this 72-nucleotide non-coding RNA. NCBI's taxonomy places the organism in Eukaryota, Metazoa, Chordata, Lepidosauria, Squamata, Phrynosomatidae. The record is from the annotation of a GenBank genome assembly.